AUGUGUUACAACUUUCGUUUUACAGUUAGUCCGGCGCCAUGAAAAUAUGCUUUGUUGUAACUACAAGACAUGCUUUGAUCCUACCAUCCAGUUAACACCAAAAAAUGAGAACUCAUAAAGAAGAUAAUGGAACCAGGAAGAUCCAUGGUGCUGCUCUUGGCAAACUUGGCACUGGGCAGGGCAGACUAUCCUCCAGGAUCUGAUAAAUGAAGAAAGGUGCUAUGAGCAACUUGCGAUUUGAGUUGAGACCCUUUAGGGCUAGAAGAGAAGAGAAAUCCUUUGUGAAAAUGGCACUUCAAGUGCCCAGAGUCUCUGGGUACCUCAGAAGCCAAACAGCAAACAUCUACAAGGACCUGGAUUUCUCUCUUCAUGCAAUUUUGUAAAAUCAAUACAAAGAGGAUUAAUCUAUGUGGCUGAAACAAUCAGUAUAUCAUGUCUCCUGAGCAUGAAGCCAAAGAAACAAGUGAGACUAUUUAGGGGUUCCAAAUAUUGGGGUUGUCAUGACAGGGAACUUGUAAUAAAUAAAACGUUAAGACUUA
Mesocricetus auratus (golden hamster) is the source of this 539-nucleotide long non-coding RNA. RefSeq lists it as uncharacterized. The record is from RefSeq and is a predicted model, not a curated record. Lineage: Eukaryota; Metazoa; Chordata; Mammalia; Rodentia; Cricetidae. The transcript is spliced from 2 exons.